GGGGCCCAGGCCUGGGUUGCCAUGGAUACCGUGUCCCUGGAGCAUCAGAUCCAGAGCGUGCAACGCCACAUCAGCUUCCUGAAAAAGGAGCAGAUGGCCCUGCUGCGAGACCUGCACCUGGAGAUCCUGAGGCUGCAGAAACGCUGCUCAGAACUGACCCAUGACCUGGAAAUGAGAGAGGCCCAAUCUCACCAGCAAGAGGCGGCGUCCCGGGAGCUGGAGAGCAAGUGCCGCGCGCUGGAGUCGCAGCUGGAGG
This 256-nucleotide long non-coding RNA is filed under the name Pan troglodytes (chimpanzee). RNAcentral's name for it is "long non-coding RNA NONPTRT007022". The record is from RNAcentral. Lineage: Eukaryota; Metazoa; Chordata; Mammalia; Primates; Hominidae.